Molecule: ribosomal RNA, 447 nt
Filed under: uncultured bacterium
Lineage: Bacteria
Description: partial 16S ribosomal RNA
Rfam family: Bacterial small subunit ribosomal RNA
Source: RNAcentral
AACGAACGCUGGCGGCAGGCCUAACACAUGCAAGUCGAGCGCCCCGCAAGGGGAGCGGCGGACGGGUGAGUAACGCGUGGGAACGUGCCCCUUUCUACGGAAUAGCCUCGGGAAACUGAGAGUAAUACCGUAUAAGCCAUACGGGGGAAAGAUUUAUCGGGAAGGGAUCGGCCCGCGUUGGAUUAGGUAGUUGGUGGGGUAAUGGCCUACCAAGCCGACGAUCCAUAGCUGGUUUGAAAGGAUGAUCAGCCACACUGGGACUGAGACACGGCCCAGACUCCUACGGGAGGCAGCAGUGGGGAAUCUUAGACAAUGGGCGCAAGCCUGAUCUAGCCAUGCCGCGUGAGCGAUGAAGGCCUUAGGGUUGUAAAGCUCUUUCGUGGGGGAAGAUAAUGACUGUACCCCAAGAAGAAGCCCCGGCUAACUCCGUGCCAGCAGCCGCCGUAA